This 26-nucleotide non-coding RNA is filed under the name Mus musculus (house mouse). The record is from RNAcentral. Lineage: Eukaryota; Metazoa; Chordata; Mammalia; Rodentia; Muridae.
AGAUUUUUCAUCUGAGGAGCCAUUCC